AACGAACGCUGGCGGCAGGCUUAACACAUGCAAGUCGAACGGUUGUAGCAAUACAGCAGUGGCGCACGGGUGAGUAACACGUGGAUAUCUGCCUUUUGGUUCGGAAUAACCCUGGGAAACUAGGGCUAAUACCGAAUGGUUCCUACGGGAUAAAGAUUUAUCGCCAAAAGAUGAGUCCGCGUCCGAUUAGCUAGUUGGUGAGGUAAAGGCUCACCAAGGCGACGAUCGGUAGCUGGUCUGAGAGGACGAUCAGCCACACUGGGACUGAGACACGGCCCAGACUCCUACGGGAGGCAGCAGUGGGGAAUAUUGGACAAUGGGGGCAACCCUGAUCCAGCCAUGCCGCGUGAGUGAUGAAGGCCUUCGGGUUGUAAAGCUCUUUUGGCGGGGACGAUGAUGACGGUACCCGCAGAAUAAGCCCCGGCUAACUUCGUGCCAGCCGCCGCCGUAAUAC
This 454-nucleotide ribosomal RNA is filed under the name uncultured bacterium. RNAcentral describes it as "bacterial SSU rRNA". It matches the Rfam family "Bacterial small subunit ribosomal RNA", at positions 29 to 526 of the family's 1533-position model. The record is from RNAcentral.